GACGAACGCUGGCGGCGUGCUUAACACAUGCAAGUCGAGCGGUAAGGCCCUUUCGGGGUACGACGAGCGGCGAACGGGUGAGUAACACGUGGGUGACCGUGCCCUCACGCUCUGGGGAUAAGCCCUAGGGAAACCGGGUCUAAUACUGGAUAUGACUCCAUGACGCAUGUUGUGGGGUAGGAAAGCCUUGUGCGGCUGAGGAUGGGCCCGCGGCCUAUCAGCUUGUUGGUGGGGU
RNAcentral lists this ribosomal RNA (235 nucleotides) under uncultured bacterium. RNAcentral describes it as "partial 16S ribosomal RNA". It matches the Rfam family "Bacterial small subunit ribosomal RNA", at positions 28 to 258 of the family's 1533-position model. The record is from RNAcentral.